AUACCUUUCUCGGCCUUUUGGCUAAGAUCAAGUGUAGUAUCUGUUCUUAUCAGUUUAAUAUCUGAUACGUGGGCCAAUGGCCCACACGAUAUUAAAUUUAUUUUUCUAGGGUGAGGGCCUGUAACAGCAGCUUGCUGCUGGCGUUCUCGAGCGUCGCCUCUGCGUUCCACUGCUGCAGUGGCCUGGCGCACCCCUC
Non-coding RNA from Populus trichocarpa (black cottonwood), 196 nucleotides. NCBI's taxonomy places the organism in Eukaryota, Viridiplantae, Streptophyta, Magnoliopsida, Malpighiales, Salicaceae. The record is from Rfam.